RNAcentral lists this ribosomal RNA (600 nucleotides) under Sylvirana cubitalis (yellow stream frog). RNAcentral's name for it is "partial 16S ribosomal RNA". It matches the Rfam family "Bacterial large subunit ribosomal RNA", at positions 1006 to 2074 of the family's 2925-position model. Lineage: Eukaryota; Metazoa; Chordata; Amphibia; Anura; Ranidae. The record is from RNAcentral.
UUAUUUGAAACAGGAUACAACCUAUAACACCGGGUAAAUAAAGGAUACCUAAAUAAAGUGGGCCUAAAAGCAGCCACCUUUAAAAAAGCGUUACAGCUUAUUUAAUCUAUCUCCCUAAUUAAUCUAUUCCUCAUUAACCCUUCACCAGUAUUGAACUACUUUAUACUUCUAUAAAAGUCAUCAUGCUAGAACUAGUAACAAGAAUAUAAACUUCUCCAAAAUGUAAAUAUAAGCCAAAACGGAUCCCCCAUUGGCUCUUAACGUCAAUGCUUUUACUAUAGUAACAUGUAUCAAGAAAACUCUAUAAAUACAAACGUUAACCUUACACCAGAACAUUCCAGGAAAGAUUUAAAGAGAAAGAAGGAACUCGGCAAAUCUUAGCCCCGCCUGUUUACCAAAAACAUCGCCUCUUGCUCAACAUAAGAGGUCCAGCCUGCCCAGUGACAAAGUUUAACGGCCGCGGUACCCUAACCGUGCAAAGGUAGCAUAAUCACUUGUUCUUUAAAUAGGGACUCGUAUCAACGGCAUCACGAGGGUUAUACUGUCUCCUUUCUCCAAUCAGUGAAACUGAUCUCCCCGUGAAGAAGCGGGGAUUUAACU